GAUGAACGCUAGCGAUAGGCCUAACACAUGCAAGUCGAGGGGCAGCAUAGAGUAGCAAUACUUUGAUGGCGACCGGCGCACGGGUGAGUAACACGUAUGCAACCUACCUACAUCAGGGGAAUAACCCGGAGAAAUUCGGACUAAUACCGCAUAAUACAGGGAUGCCGCAUGGCAAUAUUUGUUAAAGAUUUAUCGGAUGUAGAUGGGCAUGCGUUCCAGUAGCUAGUUGGUGAGGUAACGGCUCACCAAGGCAACGAUGGAUAGGGGAACUGAGAGGUUUGUCCCCCACACUGGAACUGAGACACGGACCAGACUCCUACGGGAGGCAGCAGUGAGGAAUAUUGGUCAAUGGACGAGAGUCUGAACCAUCCAAAUCGCGUGAAGGAAGACUGCCCUACGGGUUGUAAACUUCUUUUGUACAGGAAUAAAAGACAUUACGUGUAAUGUAUUGCAUGUACUGUACGAAUAAGCAUCGGCUAACUCCGUGCCAGCAGCCGCCGUAA
RNAcentral lists this ribosomal RNA (503 nucleotides) under uncultured bacterium. Its description in RNAcentral is "partial 16S ribosomal RNA". It matches the Rfam family "Bacterial small subunit ribosomal RNA", at positions 28 to 523 of the family's 1533-position model. The record is from RNAcentral.